UCCCAGAUGAAGAGCGGCGUGACCCCAGGUGCGCGGGCCGUGGCACACACUAACGUGUUACGGUUACCUUCUUAGGGCCGCGGCCUUUGUGGGGCCCGCAGCCUCUCACGCACCCGAGUUCCGUUACACGGCACCUUUAAAAAGCUGGGACAACCCAGAUGGUUGAAGAGACCAAUGACUGAGGACCCAUGCAAAUGAUUUAACGUCUCCCGGGCAGGGAGAUUGGUCCUGCGCUGCUGACGUCACAAAACAUUUCGCCACCCCGCCCCCAGCGCGGCCCGGGGGGGUGGGGUAGGGUGGGGUGGGGUGGAGAGGUUCUGGUUCAGCUGAAGUGGGAAGAGCUAGAAUCCCCUGACCUAAGCAAGCCCAGGGAAGUUUCUGCACUUUAGUUCUCUAUGCCUCCCAACGCCUGUGAGCCUAGGGAUUAUGACAAGCAGUCCAUCGUACUGGAAAGAAGAGUCACUCCCCCGGUGGAUCAAUAUGAGUUCGAGAACAGACUGGUCUACAUAGCUACAGAGACCUUGUCUUCAAAAGACAAACAACAAAAGUCUCACACACCCAGGUGGUAACACAGCUGAGGCGAGAGAAGGGGCAGACGUUGGUCUCCCCUUAGGAUGUCCCCCAGGCAAACAUACAAAGUGGUACCCCACUUUGUCUGCACCGAUUGCAUAAGCAGAACAUCACCACCAUUACCUAAAGCACUCAAGUCUACUAGGAUGGUUUGUAGUAACUGGACUCCUCCAGCGCCCACCAACCCAGAACAAGAUGUCAGUAGAAAAUUGCAACAUUUGUUAAACCUCUGUGGCUACAGAUGCGUGACACUCUGUACUUUGGGGAUGUAUCCCAUAAUCUCAAAUAUUAAAAACAAAAACAAAAACAGUUUGCUAACAAGA
Mastomys coucha (southern multimammate mouse) is the source of this 893-nucleotide long non-coding RNA. RefSeq lists it as uncharacterized. The record is from RefSeq and is a predicted model, not a curated record. The transcript is spliced from 2 exons. Lineage: Eukaryota; Metazoa; Chordata; Mammalia; Rodentia; Muridae.